RNAcentral lists this ribosomal RNA (403 nucleotides) under bacterium. Its description in RNAcentral is "partial 16S ribosomal RNA". It matches the Rfam family "Bacterial small subunit ribosomal RNA", at positions 355 to 776 of the family's 1533-position model. The record is from RNAcentral.
UGGGGAAUAUUGCACAAUGGGGGAAACCCUGAUGCAGCGACGCCGCGUGAACGAAGAAGGUAUUCGUAUCGUAAAGUUCUGUCCUAUGGGAAGAUAAUGACAGUACCAUAGAAGAAAGCUCCGGCCAAUUACGUGCCAGCAGCCGCGGUAAUACGUAUGGAGCGAGCGUUGUCCGGAAUUAUUGGGCGUAAAGGGUACGCAGGCGGUUUAAUAAGUCGAAUGUUAAAGAUCGGGGCUCAACCCCGCAAAGCAUUGGAAACUGAUAAACUUGAGUAGUGGAGAGGAAAGUGGAAUUCCUAGUGUAGUGGUGAAAUACGUAGAUAUUAGGAGGAAUACCAGUGGCGAAGGCGACUUUCUGGACACAAACUGACGCUGAGGUACGAAAGCGUGGGGAGCAAACAGG